This 204-nucleotide non-coding RNA is filed under the name Arabidopsis thaliana (thale cress). Lineage: Eukaryota; Viridiplantae; Streptophyta; Magnoliopsida; Brassicales; Brassicaceae. The record is from RNAcentral.
GAUUCCGCAACCUUGUAUCUCAAGCCUACAACGGUAUACGAACUCUCUUCUUACAAUUUUCAUUUUUCAAAAGGUAAGUUUCAAAGAAUUUUGACCUAAUCAUGCAAAACCAAAAAAGAAGAAGAAGUCACCUACCUGUUUUUUUUUUGGCUUUCUUCUUCAUUGGAUUUUGAGAUCGAAUUUCCAAUUAAAAAUUAGCUUAUG